GUGCUUGUUUCAGCAGCACAUAUGUCGAAACUGGAACAAUACAGAGAUCAGCAUGGUCCUGGCGCAAGAAUGACACGUUCCACAUUUUU
Molecule: small nuclear RNA, 89 nt
Organism: Urocitellus parryii (Arctic ground squirrel)
Lineage: Eukaryota; Metazoa; Chordata; Mammalia; Rodentia; Sciuridae
Source: Ensembl